This 500-nucleotide ribosomal RNA is filed under the name uncultured bacterium. Its description in RNAcentral is "partial 16S ribosomal RNA". It matches the Rfam family "Bacterial small subunit ribosomal RNA", at positions 30 to 523 of the family's 1533-position model. The record is from RNAcentral.
AUUGAACGCUGGCGGAAUGCUUUACACAUGCAAGUCGAACGGCAGCACGGACUUCGGUCUGGUGGUGAGUGGCGAACGGGUGAGUAAUGUAUCGGAACGUGCCCAGUCGUGGGGGAUAACGUAGUGAAAAUUACGCUAAUACCGCAUACGAUCUAUGGAUGAAAGCGGGGGAUCGCAAGACCUCGCGCGAUUGGAGCGGCCGAUAUCAGAUUAGGUAGUUGGUGGGGUAAAGGCCCACCAAGCCAACGAUCUGUAGCUGGUCUGAGAGGACGACCAGCCAAACUGGAACUGAGACACGGUCCAGACUCCUACGGGAGGCAGCAGUGGGGAAUUUUGGACAAUGGGCGAAAGCCUGAUCCAGCCAUUCCGCGUGCAGGAUGAAGGCCCUCGGGUUGUAAACUGCUUUCGUACAGAACGAAAAGGUUUCUACUAAUACUAGGAGCUCAUGACGGUACUGUAAGAAUAAGCACCGGCUAACUACGUGCCAGCCGCCGCAGUAA